This 643-nucleotide long non-coding RNA is filed under the name Fukomys damarensis (Damara mole-rat). RNAcentral describes it as "lncRNA (ENSFDAG00000024339.1)". Lineage: Eukaryota; Metazoa; Chordata; Mammalia; Rodentia; Bathyergidae. The record is from RNAcentral.
GCUUAAAAAAAGGAAUUGACAUUUCUGUAGCUUCCAGAUAGCACUUCGUGGAUUCUGUGGAAAAUCAAAGAAAGUAGAAGGGUUUUGGAAUCAAACAGAUCGGCAUGCAGUUCUCAGCAGCGAUCCGCUGUUAUGUGACCUUGGACCUGGCUCUUUCUCCCUCCCAUGGUUCAGCUUUUGGCCAUUUCAUUCGUCAUUUGCACCUACGGUGGGAAGAAGACAGAGAAGCUGAAGCACAGGCCAGGGAUGCCUUUCUUCUUUGGGUCUCUGGGGGCCUUCGAGGACAUCGGGACCUUCUCCCGGCCCUCAGCUCAAAACACCUCCUCACCCAGUUACUUCAACUGCUUAAACAGGCAGGAGCAGCUGGACAUCCCCAGCGCAGUGUUCCUCAGACCUGGCCAUCCGUGAAAGCACUGGAGCAAUGUAAAAUACAUCUAGAUCCUGAAUUAAGGCCUGACCGUGCCAGAGACUCCAGGGGUGGGGCCAGACGUCUGUAGUUUUAUAAUCUUCUCAGGUAGCUCUGAACAUAGAUGGGGCUGGGAACCACAGUCUUGGCAAGAGCUUCUCCAACAUCCCCUUCUGAACACAGAGAAGCUUCUGGAAGCCCCUGGGAAGAAUGUGGGUCUAUAGUUCAAGCUCCCAC